CAUGUAAACCAUUGAUUGAACGUAGGAAAGCCACUAAUUUUUCCCGCACAGUCUAACAAAUCGUUAGUAAAAUGCCUGAAUGUUGUGCAGCUUAUGACUGCACCAACCGUCGAGUCAUGGGAGGUGUUGUCUCAUUUAAUAAAUUUCCUCUUGGAAAGCAGGCUAUACCCACUAAAGUGGGUGACGGCAAUCAGGUUGUGCAGCGAGCACUUCAAGAAGGAUGACUACAUGAGAGGUAAUCAUCCCAGAGAUGACCGAGAAAAUAUUCAACAUGGAAUCAGGAGUCUGCUGUACCCUCCAUCUUUCCAGCUUACCCACCACAUAAACAACAGAAGCAAGCGAGUAAGAGGCCUCCACCUAGAAGAAAAAUGAUGACAGCGGAUCCUGGCUCACAAUCUCCUCCAUUAAAAACUGUUAAUGUUGCAGAAGAGCACAUGUACAUGUAUGCAAAGAUCAAAACAUGAUAAACCAGGGACAGUUGGAGCUGUUGAAGCUGAACUUCGUACUGAAUACUUUCACGCUGAUUGAAAAUGAGCUGAAGUAAAUGGAGAAAGACAAACAUGGUCACAUGUUCUCUGAGGAAAUCAAGCAGUUCGCGUCACACUACAUGUCUAUAGUGCCCAGGUAAACAACCAAGGCAAACCAUUCUCCUGGAAAGUAACACAGACUCAGACGGUGACGAGACCAAAAAAGUCUUAGAGAUGAGUAAAAAAGAGUCGGAGAGAAAAAAGCGAGAAGCAGAUGAGAGGUUGCGGCUUGAGGAAGAAGAAUUGAAAAAGGAAUCCUUGAGAAGAUGACACUCUGAGAUGUGCAGGAAGAUGUGUGGGGAGGCAGCCCACCUGCAAGGCCUCCCCUGAAAUGGCUGCUGAAGAGACACGAGUACAUAAAGUGCCAUAGAAGCUUUGCUGUAGUGAAAUAUUUGCCAUCAUCCUGCAAUACACACAUGGUCUAAAAGAGAAAUGACAAGACAAGCACAUAAGAAAAUGAGAUGAUGGAAAACCUCUUUAGUUGUUUGUGUUCUGCUCAGAUGUUGCCUAGCGACAAGGGAUGCUCAGUACUUUGAUAACAUCUUCUCCACAUUGGGAGAGAUUGAAAGAGAACAGGUGAUGAGGAGGGUGACUCCAGGAAUGCGGCCCCAUUACAAUGUGAGCAUGAGGCGACCACGGACACAUGUUUAUGCCAGACUGCAACACUGUACUAAUGAAACUCAAUGCACGCAUCAAGGACAUUCACCAAAGAGCCACUGCAAACAAGAUGAUGCUUAAUGCGGCAAAGCAUUGGUUCUUCAUUUUACAUUAAGAUUUUCACAACAGCCACUUCCAGUCAUUUCCAUCACGGUUGGUGAUGUGAAACCACUCAACGAAAGCCAGAAAUCUCUGUGCAGUCAUGGAUGAACAUCUACAUGUAUCACCGAAGGCCCAUGUCUCUACCCUAUAUGCUGCUCUUAAAUUACUGUCAUCCAAAGAUGUUUUAAAUUUAGAAAAUAAUGAUCCACACAAAUACACCUGGAAAUUGUUUAGUUUUCCUUGGCCGUCU
Molecule: long non-coding RNA, 1536 nt
Organism: Asterias rubens (European starfish)
Lineage: Eukaryota; Metazoa; Echinodermata; Asteroidea; Forcipulatida; Asteriidae
Exons: 7
Source: RefSeq, a predicted model, not a curated record